AGCACAGGUUUACCUGUGUGACUGCGUACCUUUUGUAUAAUGGGUCAGCGACUUAUAUUCUGUAGCAAGGUUAACCGUAUAGGGGAGCCGUAGGGAAACCGAGUCUUAACCGGGCGUUAAGUUGCAGGGUAUAGACCCGAAACCCGGUGAUCUAGCCAUGGGCAGGUUGAAGGUUGGGUAACACUAACUGGAGGACCGAACCGACUAAUGUUGAAAAAUUAGCGGAUGACCUGUGGCUGGGGGUGAAAGGCCAAUCAAACCGGGAGAUAGCUGGUUCUCCCCGAAAGCUAUUUAGGUAGCGCCUCGUGAAUUCAUCUCCGGGGGUAGAGCACUGUUUCGGCUAGGGGGCCAUCCCGGCUUACCAACCCGAUGCAAACUGCGAAUACCGGAGAAUGUUAUCACGGGAGACACACGGCGGGUGCUAACGUCCGUCGUGAAGAGGGAAACAACCCAGACCGCCAGCUAAGGUCCCAAAGUCAUGGUUAAGUGGGAAACGAUGUGGGAAGGCCCAGACAGCCAGGAUGUUGGCUUAGAAGCAGCCAUCAUUUAAAGAAAGCGUAAUAGCUCACUGGUCGAGUCGGCCUGCGCGGAAGAUGUAACGGGGCUAAACCAU
Molecule: ribosomal RNA, 613 nt
Filed under: Salmonella enterica
Lineage: Bacteria; Pseudomonadati; Pseudomonadota; Gammaproteobacteria; Enterobacterales; Enterobacteriaceae
Description: partial 23S ribosomal RNA
Rfam family: Bacterial large subunit ribosomal RNA
Source: RNAcentral